GAUGAACGCUAGCGGGAGGCUUAACACAUGCAAGUCGAGGGGCAGCACGAUCCCGAGUAAUCGGGAUUGGUGGCGACCGGCGCACGGGUGAGUAACACGUAUGCAACCUACCCUGUACAGGGGGAUAACCCGGAGAAAUUCGGACUAAUAUCCCAUAAUGAUAUUUGAGGGCAUCCUUGGAUAUUUAAAGCUCAGGCGGUACGGGAUGGGCAUGCGGAACAUUAGCUAGUUGGGAGGGUAACGGCCUACCAAGGCAACGAUGUUUAGGGGACCUGAGAGGGUGAUCCCCCACACUGGUACUGAGACACGGACCAGACUCCUACGGGAGGCAGCAGUGAGGAAUAUUGGUCAAUGGGCGCAAGCCUGAACCAGCCAUCCCGCGUGCAGGAAGACGGCCCUAUGGGUUGUAAACUGCUUUUCCAGGGGGAGAAUUUUUCUGUCGUGACAGGAAUUGACGGUACCCUGGGAAUAAGCAUCGGCUAACUCCGUGCCAGCAGCCGCGGUAAACUGU
Molecule: ribosomal RNA, 511 nt
Filed under: uncultured bacterium
Lineage: Bacteria
Description: bacterial SSU rRNA
Rfam family: Bacterial small subunit ribosomal RNA
Source: RNAcentral